Long non-coding RNA from Cucurbita maxima (winter squash), 335 nucleotides. RefSeq lists it as uncharacterized. The transcript is spliced from 2 exons. Lineage: Eukaryota; Viridiplantae; Streptophyta; Magnoliopsida; Cucurbitales; Cucurbitaceae. The record is from RefSeq and is a predicted model, not a curated record.
AACAAACCUCAAUAGCUCCUAGAAAGUUAGAGGAAUUCAAGAAUGGGCUCUAUUCUCCAAACGAGGUUGUUAAAACAUUGAUGCAUUCCGUUUCAUCUAAUUUUCCCACUUAAAUCCUCUCUCGGUUGCAAUUAAAUCUGCGCUUUAUGAAGACUCACCGAUAGUGGGGAUGGUGGUAACAAUUUCUCCGAGCUUUAACUUGUAUAAGAUCGUGGUUUUACCAGCAGCAUCAAGACCCACCAUCAAAAUGCGCAUCUCUUUCUUAGAAAAGAGGCUGCUGAAGAGCUUCGUGAAGGUCAGCCCCAUUUCUGCUUCCCUCUAUGGGCAACAAUCAC